CACGGACCCGCCACGGCGGGUGGCUUCUCCGGGCGCCUAUCCCCCGGCCACAA
RNAcentral lists this non-coding RNA (53 nucleotides) under Agrobacterium albertimagni AOL15. RNAcentral describes it as "sul1 RNA". It matches the Rfam family "sul1 RNA". The record is from Rfam by way of RNAcentral. Lineage: Bacteria; Pseudomonadati; Pseudomonadota; Alphaproteobacteria; Hyphomicrobiales; Rhizobiaceae.